This 74-nucleotide transfer RNA is filed under the name Bacteroidota bacterium. Its description in RNAcentral is "tRNA-Pro". It matches the Rfam family "tRNA". From Rfam's summary of the family: Transfer RNA (tRNA) molecules are approximately 80 nucleotides in length. Their secondary structure includes four short double-helical elements and three loops (D, anti-codon, and T loops). RNAcentral also lists the same sequence under 2 other names. The record is from RNAcentral. Lineage: Bacteria; Pseudomonadati; Bacteroidota.
CGGGAUGUAGCGCAGCCCGGUAGCGCACCUGCUUUGGGAGCAGGGGGUCCCAGGUUCGAAUCCUGGUAUCCCGA